This 2337-nucleotide long non-coding RNA is filed under the name Citrus x clementina. Its description in RNAcentral is "Citrus clementina (C. clementina) long non-coding RNA (CCLE_LNC006081)". The record is from RNAcentral. Lineage: Eukaryota; Viridiplantae; Streptophyta; Magnoliopsida; Sapindales; Rutaceae.
GGUGGGCUAUAGCCUUGGUGGGGGGCGUGGGCGAAGUUCGUCCGCGGGACUCGGAAUGGCCCCAGACUUGGUGGGCGGCCUCCGUGUGCCAAAAAUAGGCCACGGGCACAGCCGCGCCCAAAAAUCAGCCCCCGAAGGUCGGGGUCCCAAGACCCCCCAGCGGAAAAAUGGCCAAGAAACGCGUGGGCUAUAGCCUUGGUGGGGGGCGUGGGCGAAGUUCGUCCGCGGGACUCGGAAUGGCCCCAGACUUGGCGGGCGGCCUCCGUGUGCCAAAAAUAGGCCACGGGCACAGCCGCGCCCAAAAAUCAGCCCCCGAAGGUCGGGGUCCCAAGACACCCCAGCGGAAAAAUGGCCAAGAAACGGGUGGGCUAUAGCCUUGGUGGGGGGCGUGGGCGAAGUUCGUCCGCGGGACUCGGAAUGGCCCCAGACUUGGCGGGCGGCCUCCGUGUGCCAAAAAUAGGCCACGGGCACAGCCGCGCCCAAAAAUCAGCCCCCGAAGGUCGGGGUCCCAAGACCCCCCAGCGGAAAAAUGGCCAAGAAACGGGUGGGCUAUAGCCUUGGUGGGGGGCGUGGGUGAAGUUCGUCCGCGGGACUCGGAAUGGCCCCAAUAGGCCACGGGCACAGCCGCGCCCAAAAAUCAGCCCCCGAAGGUCGGGGUCCCAAGACCCCCCAGCGGAAAAAAGGCCAAGAAACGCGUGGGCUAUAGCCUUGGUGGGGGGCGUGGGCGAAGUUCGUCCGCGGGACUCGGAAUGGCCCCAGACUUGGCGGGCGGCCUCCGUGUGCCAAAAAUAGGCCACGGGCACAGCCGCGCCCAAAAAUCAGCCCCCGAAGGUCGGGGUCCCAAGACCCCCCAGCGGAAAAAAGGCCAAGAAACGCGUGGGCUAUAGCCUUGGUGGGGGGCGUGGGCGAAGUUCGUCCGCGGGACUCGGAAUGGCCCCAGACUUGGCGGGCGGCCUCCGUGUGCCAAAAAUAGGCCACGGGCACAGCCGCGCCCAAAAAUCAGCCCCCGAAGGUCGGGGUCCCAAGACCCCCCAGCGGAGAAAUGGCCAAGAAACGGGUGAGCUAUAGCCUUGGUGGGGGGCGUGGGCGAAGUUCGUCCGCGGGACUCGGAAUGGCCCCAGACAUGGCGGGCGGCCUCCGUGUGCCAAAAAUAGGCCACGGGCACAGCCGCGGCCAAAAAUCAGCCCCCGAAGGUCGGGGUCCCAAGACCCCCCAGCGGAAAAAAGGCCAAGAAACGCGUGGGCUAUAGCCUUGGUGGGGGGCGUGGGCGAAGUUCGUCCGCGGGACUCGGAAUGGCCCCAGACUUGGCGGGCGGCCUCCGUGUGCCAAAAAUAGGCCACGGGUACAGCCGCGCCCAAAAAUCAGCCCCCGAAGGUCGGGGUCCCAAGACCCCCCAGCGGAAAAAUGGCCAAGAAACGGGUGGGCUAUAGCCUUGGUGGGGGGCGUGGGCGAAGUUCGUCCGCGGGACUCGGAAUGGCCCCAGACUUGGCGGGCGGCCUCCGUGUGCCAAAAAUAGGCCACGGGCACAGCCGCGCCCAAAAAUCAGCCCCCGAAGGUCGGGGUCCCAAGACCCCCCAGCGGAAAAAUGGCCAAGAAACGGGUGGGCUAUAGCCUUGGUGGGGGGCGUGGGCGAAGUUCGUCCGCGGGACUCGGAAUGGCACCAUACUUGGCGGGCGGCCUCCGUGUGCCAAAAAUAGGCCACGGGCACAGCCGCGCCCAAAAAUCAGCCCCCGAAGGUCGGGGUCCCAAGACCCCCCAGCGGAAAAAUGGCCAUGAAACGCGUGGGCUAUAGCCUUGGUGGGGGGCGUGGGCGAAGUUCGUCCGCGGGACUCGGAAUGGCCCCAGACUUGGCGAGCGGCCUCCGUGUGCCAAAAAUAGGCCACGGGCACAGCCGCGCCCAAAAAUCAGCCCCCGAAGGUCGGGGUCCCAAGACCCCCCAGCGGAAAAAUGGCCAAGAAACGGGUGGGCUAUAGCCUUGGUGGGGGGCGUGGGCGAAGUUCGUCCGCGGGACUCGGAAUGGCCCCAGACUUGGCGGGCGGCCUCCGUGUGCCAAAAAUAGGCCACGGGCACAGCCGCGCCCAAAAAUCAGCCCCCGAAGGUCGGGGUCCCAAGACCCCCCAGCGGAAAAAAGGCCAAGAAACGCGUGGGCUAUAGCCUUGGUGGGGGGCGUGGGCGAAGUUCGUCCGCGGGACUCGGAAUGGCACCAUACUUGGCGGGCGGCCUCCGUGUGCCAAAAAUAGGCCACGGGCACAGCCGCGCCCAAAAAUCAGCCCCCGAAGGUCGGGGUCCCAAGACCCCCCAGUGGAAAAAUGGCCAAAAAACGGGUGGGCUAUAGCC